Molecule: non-coding RNA, 119 nt
Organism: Cordylochernes scorpioides
Lineage: Eukaryota; Metazoa; Arthropoda; Arachnida; Pseudoscorpiones; Chernetidae
Source: the annotation of a GenBank genome assembly
CCUAUAAAAGUACACAUUGUGCGAUUCUCGAUUCUCGUCUGAUCACCGAAGUUAAGCAGUUUCGAGCCCGGUCAGUACUUGGGAGGGUGACCACCUGGGAACACCGGGUGCUGUAGGCU